GUCAUCGGAAGGUUGGAUCUGAAGGAAGCGUGGAGCAAACCUGCGGCCCAAUGCUCGAGCACCGGAUAGUGAGCCCACCCAGCCGGACGAGCGAGCCAAUGAUCGCAAAGUCCACAAUCGGGGUUGGGUGUUAAAUCCGGUGGGCGUGCAGGGAAGUCGGCCGAACUU
Molecule: non-coding RNA, 168 nt
Filed under: Bradyrhizobium macuxiense
Lineage: Bacteria; Pseudomonadati; Pseudomonadota; Alphaproteobacteria; Hyphomicrobiales; Nitrobacteraceae
Source: RNAcentral